Molecule: long non-coding RNA, 1020 nt
Organism: Oryzias melastigma (Indian medaka)
Lineage: Eukaryota; Metazoa; Chordata; Actinopteri; Beloniformes; Adrianichthyidae
Exons: 3
Source: RefSeq, a predicted model, not a curated record
AGAUAAGACAUUUUCCAUGGUGACGUCAACACCUUGUUUUGUCCAUUAAAGUAAAAUACACAUCAUCGGUCAACAUAGAUUAUGGUAACAACACGAAGUUUGUGGUCAAUAGUUUUUGGGUUGCUUAAGAAAGGGUUUCCUACUGUUUUUAUGUGUUAACAUUUUAGCACUCUGGACUGGAUGUUUUGCUGCUGUUUUUCUUGUUUGUUUGUUUUUAAAUGGUCAGUAUUGAAAAAAAAUAUCCCUUGGUGGUGUAAAGCUAAAGGUUGACCUCAUAAAGUUAUUUUUUUUAGUUGUAAUUUGAUCUUUUACUGUGCCAGAAUGCCAUAAAUUCAAAUGAAAAUACUUAAAAAUAAGGCUCUUUACAGUAAUUAUUAGGUUAAAAUAUUCGUAAUUAAAACUGAGGAAUUAGAUUAAAUAAUUACAUUGAAAAAGACUAUAUUUUACAUCACUGUAAACACUUUUUUAUGUCAUGCUUUUGAAGGCUUACCUACGGUGGCCUUGAAGAGCAAAUCACACCACUCUCAACUCUCAACACAAAACAUUAAUGAACACAACAAUUAAAAAGGCAAAAAAUAAAAGUAUUACAUUUUUUCAAAUCAAAAGAAAAUUCCAGAAACCAAACGCAAAUUAAAAAAAAUAAAUAAAUAAAAAUGAGAAAGUUUUGAGAGGCAAAAGCACUUUCCAGAAAUCAAAAGGGCCACCGUACUUUUCUGCUCCAAGUACUUUUUACUUUUUAUUCUCUAUUUUAUGAGUGACCUUUGGCUUCACUUUUUCCCCCUGCGACCAGUGACAAGUAAAGCUGUGAUUUGAUUUGCUACAUUUCUUUCCAAUGGAAUGACCAUCACCUCCAGCAGCAUCUAUUCAGAGUUCUUCUACAUGACGGUCUGAACACGGAUUUCUACACGGCUGCGUUGACUCAGGAAUAACCUCUGGGAGAGAGAAUUUGUCCUUUAAAAAUGUGAAUUUCUUGCAAUGGUCUUACAUGUUUGCAGUUAAGCUGAAUCCAGGUUGAUUUUU